RNAcentral lists this long non-coding RNA (425 nucleotides) under Cyanistes caeruleus (blue tit). RNAcentral describes it as "lncRNA (ENSCCEG00000014123.1)". The record is from RNAcentral. Lineage: Eukaryota; Metazoa; Chordata; Aves; Passeriformes; Paridae.
CAGCAGACUCCAGGGUCUGGAGCACACACGCUCACAGAGGCCACCAACAUGACCUCAUACACAGAGGCUGCCAGAGGUGGAGCAAUGUCCCCAGCUAAAGCACCGUCCACAGCUAUAUAGCAAUGAAUUUGCCUUUUGAAAGUAUGCACAUAGCAACCUCACAUUGUGCAGAGCCUUGGUGUUUAUCUACAAUCUGGCCAUGUUGGAAUUUCAAUGAAGAUAUCUUCCAGGAUAAAUGUUUGCUAGGGAGGUGGAAGGGCAAAGACUGCUCCAGCAGUCCAGCUACAAGGAUAUUCACCUUGAAGUGUCCUUGUCAUGCCUAUUCUUGCAGAAGCCAAAGUCUCUUCCCCAGACUUAGCUGCAACUUCCAGGCCAACCAAAGUCAAUGGGAUCUCCAUGGUGGCUCAGAAACAACCCUUCAGUGA